UUGCAGUUAAAAAGCUCGUAGUUGGACCUUGGGCAGGAGGCACGGGUUGGCCGAAUGGCUCGACUCGGGUCUCCGGCCUCUAUGGGUGGUCGUGCCUUUGGUACGGUUCGCCCGGGUUACUGUGAAGAAAUUAGAGUGUUUAAAGCAGGCGAUUGCUUGGAUACAUCAGCAUGGAAUAACAAGAUAGGACCUGGUUCCACUUGUUGGUUUGGGGGCUUUGGUAAUGAUUAAUAGGGCCAGUUGGGGGCAUUAGUAUUCAGUAGUCAGAGGUGAAAUCCUUGGAUUUACUGAAGACUAACUAGUGCGAAAGCAUUUGCCAAGGAUGUUUUCAUUAAUCAAGAACGAAAGUUAGGGGAUCGAAGACGAUCAGAUACCGUCGUAGUCUUAACUAUAAACGAUGCCGACUCGGGAUCGGCAGACGUCGUUAGCGACACUGUCGGCACCGUGUGAGAAAUCAAAGUUUUUGGGUUCUGGGGGGAGUAUGGUCGCAAGGCUGAAACUUAAAGGAAUUGACGGAAGGGCACCACCAGGAGUGGAGCCUGCGGCUUAAUUUGACUCAACACGGGAAAACUCACCAGGUCCCGGACAUAGUAAGGAUUGACAGAUUGAGAGCUCUUUCUUGAUUCU
RNAcentral lists this ribosomal RNA (627 nucleotides) under uncultured eukaryote. RNAcentral's name for it is "SSU rRNA". It matches the Rfam family "Eukaryotic small subunit ribosomal RNA", at positions 613 to 1269 of the family's 1831-position model. The record is from RNAcentral.